Molecule: transfer RNA, 85 nt
Filed under: bacterium HR34
Lineage: Bacteria
Description: tRNA-Leu
Rfam family: tRNA
About the family: Transfer RNA (tRNA) molecules are approximately 80 nucleotides in length. Their secondary structure includes four short double-helical elements and three loops (D, anti-codon, and T loops).
Source: RNAcentral
GCCGGGGUGGCGGAAUUGGCAGACGCGCUAGGUUCAGGGCCUAGUGGGAGCAAUCCCGUGUGGGUUCAAAUCCCACUCCCGGCAC